RNAcentral lists this unclassified non-coding RNA (464 nucleotides) under Hevea brasiliensis (rubber tree). Lineage: Eukaryota; Viridiplantae; Streptophyta; Magnoliopsida; Malpighiales; Euphorbiaceae. The record is from RNAcentral.
UUUUUUUUUUUUUUCAAAAAAAAUUUUCACAAACAUUAUUUUCUGAUAAAUAAAUGGAGCUUUAGAGUUGUGAUUGACUUAGCCCUGCAAUCUUGGCUUAGGCUAUCUACGCAUCACAAUAUGGAACCUGGGCAGCAAAUGUAAAAAGGCAUGGAUGAUUAAUAUUGCAUAGCAUAGUUCUUUCUCUCUCUUUGUGAAGAUUUAUUUUUAAGUGUGAGAAAAUUUGAAAGCCGUUAAAAACAUUUGAUAGAUUAAUUUCUUUCUAAGCAAAAAACAAUUGUAGAAUAGUAUACAUUUAUGAAAGGAGAGAUCACUGUGUAAUUAAGACAGCAGCAUGCUUCAGUUCUCACAAAAUAGUGGGACUCAAGGUAACAUGAGACGAUUGAAACAUGCUCGGAUCUGUUCACAGCAUAACAGUUAAUAGUUUAUACAGUGUUUAUUAGAUAGUAAAGAACUAACAUUAU